UGGUGGAGUGAUUUGUCUGGUUAAUUCCGAUAACGAACGAGACCUUAACCUGCUAAAUAGUUAGGCUACGUUUUACGUGGUCGCCAACUUCUUAGAGGGACUAUCAGCGUUUAGCUGAUGGAAGUUUGAGGCAAUAACA
This 139-nucleotide ribosomal RNA is filed under the name uncultured eukaryote. RNAcentral describes it as "partial 18S ribosomal RNA". It matches the Rfam family "Eukaryotic small subunit ribosomal RNA", at positions 1299 to 1458 of the family's 1831-position model. The record is from RNAcentral.